Oncorhynchus keta (chum salmon) is the source of this 1256-nucleotide long non-coding RNA. RefSeq lists it as uncharacterized. NCBI's taxonomy places the organism in Eukaryota, Metazoa, Chordata, Actinopteri, Salmoniformes, Salmonidae. The transcript is spliced from 3 exons. The record is from RefSeq and is a predicted model, not a curated record.
ACACUUCGGAUUCUCUGCUGUCAAUUUUCAGCUUUUGUAGUUGGAAACGUCACUCCAGAUUUCCAGAGUAGAUUUUAAUGAAUUGAAUUGAGCACUCGGAAUCUACAUUAAUGAUUAGGUCAUAUAGAGAACUAGUGAGGUCAGGUUUACACAUAGAUGAUUAGGUCAUAUAGAGAACUAGUGAGGUCAGGUUUACACAUAGAUGAUUAGGUUAUAUAGAGAACUAGUGAGGUCAGGUUUACACAUAGAUGAUUAGGUUAUAUAGAGAACUAGUGAGGUCAGGUUUACACAUAGAUGAUUAGGUCAUAUAGAGAACUAGUGAGGUCAGGUUUACACAUAGAUGAUUAGGUCAUAUAGAGAACUAGUGAGGUCAGGUUUACAUAUAGAUGAUUAGGUCAUAUAGAGAACUAGUGAGGUCAGGUUUACACAUAGAUGAUUAGGUCAUAUAGAGAACUAGUGAGGUCAGGUUUACAUAUAGAUGAUUAGGUCAUAUAGAGAACUAGUGAGGUCAGGUUUACAUAUAGAUGAUUAGGUCAUAUAGAGAACUAGUGAGGUCAGGUUUACACAUAGAUGAUUAGGUUAUAUAGAGAACUAGUGAGGUCAGGUUUACACAUAGAUGAUUAGGUUAUAUAGAGAACUAGUGAGGUCAGGUUUACACAUAGAUGAUUAGGUCAUAUAGAGAACUAGUGAGGUCAGGUUUACACAUAGAUGAUUAGGUCAUAUAGAGAACUAGUGAGGUCAGGUUUACAUAUAGAUGAUUAGGUCAUAUAGAGAACUAGUGAGGUCAGGUUUACAUAUAGAUGAUUAGGUCAUAUAGAGAACUAGUGAGGUCAGGUUUACACAUAGAUGAUUAGGUCAUAUAGAGAACUAGUGAGGUCAGGUUUACAUAUAGAUGAUUAGGUCAUAUAGAGAACUAGUGAGGUCAGGUUUACAUAUAGAUGAUUAGGUCAUAUAGAGAACUAGUGAGGUCAGGUUUACACAUAGAUGAUUAGGUCAUAUAGAGAACUAGUGAGGUCAGGUUUACACGUAGAUGAUUAGGUCAUAUAGAGAACUAGUGAGGUCAGGUUUACAUAUAGAUGAUUAGGUCAUAUAGAGAACUAGUGAGGUCAGGUUUACAUAUAGAUGAUUAGGUCAUAUAGAGAACUAGUGAGGUCAGGUUUACAUAUAGAUGAUUAGGUCAUAUAGAGAACUAGUGAGGUCAGGUUUACAUAUAGAUGAUUAGGUCAUAUAGAGAACUACAGUGAGGGAAGGUUUGA